CGAUAAUGAGAUUUAUUAAUUUGCUAUUUUCUUCGUAAUUGCAAGAAGCGGACCAAACUCCGAAGGCGUGAGUUCAGUAUGGGAUGAAACUGAUAAAGAUUAGUAUGCGCUAAAAAGCCAGAAGUAUUUAUGUGCUUCGUUUAAAUUUUAUUUUGCUCAUUUUUCCUUCGGAAAUCGGCUAGGAACUAUGGUUACAAUGUGUAUUGUUUGUCUUAGGUUUCGUCACCGGUGAACGGGAUGUGAAGUCGAGGAUUCCAUAAAUAUUACACAGGCAGAAAGCAUCAACGGAGCUGGGAAGGUCAAGAUGGAUCAGAAAUAAUACAAUGUUUAGCAGCUGCAAGACGAGCCAACGUGAAUUCAAGUUAAACAAAAUUGUAUCGCCAAAACAGUGUGACAAUGGAAUUAUGGAACAACUUCAGCGCGAGAAAACAGGAUUCCUGGAACCCGAACUAACUCGAGAACUACGGUGGAAAUUCCAAAAAUAUUCAGUGCUAUCGUUUGGAGCGACCGACGGCUUUUUACUGGGAUGCGUCUAGUCCUUGGACCCAAUGGGAAGUGUCAUCAGUGUUGGUUGUCCUCCCCUAUUUGGUUGUAUCGUUGAU
Armigeres subalbatus is the source of this 602-nucleotide long non-coding RNA. RefSeq lists it as uncharacterized. The record is from RefSeq and is a predicted model, not a curated record. The transcript is spliced from 3 exons. Lineage: Eukaryota; Metazoa; Arthropoda; Insecta; Diptera; Culicidae.